GCAGACCAUCUGAUCAGAGAGAU
Molecule: microRNA, 23 nt
Filed under: Haemonchus contortus (barber pole worm)
Lineage: Eukaryota; Metazoa; Nematoda; Chromadorea; Rhabditida; Trichostrongylidae
Description: hco-miR-5916
Source: miRBase by way of RNAcentral